Molecule: ribosomal RNA, 440 nt
Filed under: uncultured bacterium
Lineage: Bacteria
Description: partial 16S ribosomal RNA
Rfam family: Bacterial small subunit ribosomal RNA
Source: RNAcentral
CCUACGGGGGGCAGCAGUGGGGAAUAUUGCACAAUGGGGGAAACCCUGAUGCAGCGACGCCGCGUGAGCGAUGAAGUAUUUCGGUAUGUAAAGCUCUAUCAGCAGGGAAGAAAAUGACGGUACCUGACUAAGAAUCCCCGGCUAACUACGUGCCAGCAGCCGCGGUAAUACGUAGGGGGCAAGCGUUAUCCGGAUUUACUGGGUGUAAAGGGAGCGUAGACGGUCCUGCAAGCCAGAUGUGAAAGCCCGGGGCUCAACCCCGGGACUGCAUUUGGAACUGUAAGGCUAGAGUGUCGGAGAGGCAGGCGGAAUGUGUAGUGUAGCGGUGAAAUGCAUAGAUAUUACACAGAACACCGAUUGCGAAGGCAGCUUGCUAGGCCGGAUCUGACACUGAUGCACGAAAGCGUGGGGAUCGAACAGGAUUAGAUACCCUGGUAGUC